This is a long non-coding RNA of Propithecus coquereli (Coquerel's sifaka), 170 nucleotides long. RefSeq lists it as uncharacterized. Lineage: Eukaryota; Metazoa; Chordata; Mammalia; Primates; Indriidae. The transcript has 3 exons. The record is from RefSeq and is a predicted model, not a curated record.
CUGCCUCAGCCGGUCCCAGCACUUCCAGCGGAGCCAGGAGGAAGGAAAGAAGAGUACCAGGUGGAAAAGUGGUUGAGUCCCGCUACUUGGACUACGAGAAGAAAACAACCAGGAAGCAGGCUCCUGCCACAGAUGCCUUAAAGACCGGCGGGAACACACCUGGAGGUGGA